This 298-nucleotide signal recognition particle RNA is filed under the name Cebus imitator (Panamanian white-faced capuchin). RNAcentral describes it as "Metazoan signal recognition particle RNA (ENSCCAG00000011729.1)". It matches the Rfam family "Metazoan signal recognition particle RNA". Rfam says of the family: The signal recognition particle (SRP) is a universally conserved ribonucleoprotein. Lineage: Eukaryota; Metazoa; Chordata; Mammalia; Primates; Cebidae. The record is from RNAcentral.
GCUGGGCGCAUGGUAUGUGCCUGUAGUCCCAGCUACUGGGGAGGCUGAGGUGGGAGGAUCACUUGAGCCCAGGAAUUCUGGGCUGUAGUGCGCUAUGCCAAUCGGGUGUCCACACUAAGUUCGGCAUCAAUACGAUGACCUCCUGGGAGCAGGGGACCACCAGGUUGCCUAAGGAGGGGUAAACUGGCCCAGGUGGGAAACGAAGCAGGUCAAAACUCCCACGCUGAUCAGUAGUGGGAUUGCACCUGUGAAUAGCCACUGCUCACCAGCCUGGGCAACAUAGUGAGACCUCGUCUCU